GAUUUUUGAUUUUGUUUAUUUUUAUAUAUACAAAAAUUAAAUAAAAACUCAUAAAUUAAAAAAAUCCGAAAUUAAUUAAAAUUAGAAUUUAAUUAAAUAUCAGGAAAUUAAAAAUUAAAAAAAUAAAUGAGAUCAAAUUAAAAUACAGAAAAAAGUAAAAAAAAAAAUCAUAAAUUUCAAAAAAAAAUUGAAAUUUCAAAAGUUCGAAAAAAGUUUUUUUUUUCAUUUUCAAUGAUGAUAUCGGAAACUAUCAUUGGAGAUAUGCAAAAAAUCGACAUUGUUAAUGGUUAUGUGAGAAAUCAUCAUCAUCACUAGUGAUAUAUUUAAAAGGAAAAAUGAUUGCUACCUACAUGAAGUAUUGGUCACCACAUGGCUAACCAUGCAAACUAAAUUAAUAUAUACAUAGCCACACGAAGUAUAUGUUAUGCGUGACAACAUCCCUCAACUUUAUAAUAUUAUGUAGUUAACAUCACGAGUUUAAUUUCAUUUAUCCAAAAACUGAUGUGGAUGUUAGAGAUCGUUUAAAUAUUUUGUUUCAACAAUUAAAAUAUGACUGAUCCGACUAUAAUUUAACUAAAAUUAGAUUUUGACCCACAUUUAAAAAGCGUAA
RNAcentral lists this long non-coding RNA (610 nucleotides) under Brassica rapa (field mustard). Its description in RNAcentral is "long non-coding RNA (BRAP_LNC003553)". Lineage: Eukaryota; Viridiplantae; Streptophyta; Magnoliopsida; Brassicales; Brassicaceae. The record is from RNAcentral.